CAUGCCGCGUGUGUGAGAAGGCCUUCGGGUUGUAAAGCACUUUUGUCCGGAAAGAAAACUUCGGGGCUAAUACCUCUGGAGGAUGACGGUACCGGAAGAAUAAGCACCGGCUAACUACGUGCCAGCAGCCGCGGUAAUACGUAGGGUGCGAGCGUUAAUCGGAAUUACUGGGCGUAAAGCGUGCGCAGGCGGUCUGUUAAGACAGAUGUGAAAUCCCCGGGCUUAACCUGGGAACUGCAUUUGUGACUGGCAGGCUAGAGUAUGGCAGAGGGGGGUAGAAUUCCACGUGUAGCAGUGAAAUGCGUAGAGAUGUGGAGGAAUACCGAUGGCGAAGGCAGCCCCCUGGGCCAAUACUGACGCUCAUGCACGAAAGCGUGGGGAGCAAACA
Molecule: ribosomal RNA, 388 nt
Filed under: Burkholderia sp. 3CB3F
Lineage: Bacteria; Pseudomonadati; Pseudomonadota; Betaproteobacteria; Burkholderiales; Burkholderiaceae
Description: bacterial SSU rRNA
Rfam family: Bacterial small subunit ribosomal RNA
Source: RNAcentral